RNAcentral lists this ribosomal RNA (503 nucleotides) under uncultured bacterium. RNAcentral describes it as "partial 16S ribosomal RNA". It matches the Rfam family "Bacterial small subunit ribosomal RNA", at positions 29 to 507 of the family's 1533-position model. The record is from RNAcentral.
AACGAACGCUGGCGGCGUGCCUAACACAUGCAAGUCGAACGAGAAAGGGGCUUCGGCUCCGAGUAAAGUGGCGCACGGGUGAGUAACACGUGGGUAACCUGCCUCUAAGAUUGGGAUAACUCGUCGAAAGAUGAGCUAAUACCGAAUAAGACCACAGUUCCCGCGGGAACAGGGGUCAAAGGUAGCCUCUGCUUGCAAGCUAUCACUUAGAGAUGGGCCUGCGCACCAUUAGCUAGUUGGUAGGGUAACGGCCUACCAAGGCAAAGAUGGUUAGCUGGUCUGAGAGGAUGAUCAGCCACACUGGAACUUAGACACGGUCCAGACUCCUACGGGAGGCAGCAGUGGGGAAUAUUGCGCAAUGGGCGAAAGCUUGACGCAGCAACGCCGCGUGAGUGAUGAAGGCCUUCGGGUCGUAAAGCUCUGUCGGGAGGAACGAAUGCUCCUGAGGUUAACAGCCUCGGGAGGUGACGGUACCUUCAAAGGAAGCACCGGCUAACUCUGUG